UGCAGUCGAGCGCACCUUCGGGUGAGCGGCGGACGGGUUAGUAACGCGUGGGAACGUGCCCUUCUCUAAGGAAUAGCCACUGGAAACGGUGAGUAAUACCUUAUACGCCCUUCGGGGGAAAGAUUUAUCGGAGAAGGAUCGGCCCGCGUUAGAUUAGAUAGUUGGUGGGGUAACGGCCUACCAAGUCUACGAUCUAUAGCUGGUUUUAGAGGAUGGUCAGCAACACUGGGACUGAGACACGGCCCAGACUCCUACGGGAGGCAGCAGUGGGGAAUCUUAGACAAUGGGCGAAAGCCUGAUCUAGCCAUGCCGCGUGUGUGAUGAAGGCCCUAGGGUCGUAAAGCACUUUCGCCAGGGAUGAUAAUGACAGUACCUGGUAAAGAAACCCCGGCUAACUCCGUGCCAGCAGCCGCGGUAAUACGGAGGGGGUUAGCGUUGUUCGGAAUUACUGGGCGUAAAGCGUACGUAGGCGGAUUAGAAAGUAUGGGGUGAAAUCCCAGGGCUCAACCCUGGAACUGCCUCAUAAACUACUAGUCUAGAGUUCGAGAGAGGUGAGUGGAAUUCCAAGUGUAGAGGUGAAAUUCGUAGAUAUUUGGAGGAACACCAGUGGCGAAGGCGGCUCACUGGCUCGAUACUGACGCUGAGGUACGAAAGUGUGGGGAGCAAACAGGAUUAGAUACCCUGGUAGUCCACACCGUAAACGAUGAAUGCCAGUCGUCGGAUAGUAUACUAUUCGGUGACACACCUAACGGAUUAAGCAUUCCGCCUGGGGAGUACGGUCGCAAGAUUAAAACUCAAAGGAAUUGACGGGGGCCCGCA
Molecule: ribosomal RNA, 819 nt
Filed under: uncultured Alphaproteobacteria bacterium
Lineage: Bacteria; Pseudomonadati; Pseudomonadota; Alphaproteobacteria
Description: bacterial SSU rRNA
Rfam family: Bacterial small subunit ribosomal RNA
Source: RNAcentral